RNAcentral lists this long non-coding RNA (476 nucleotides) under Oryza sativa (Asian cultivated rice). Its description in RNAcentral is "long non-coding RNA (OSAT_LNC001275)". Lineage: Eukaryota; Viridiplantae; Streptophyta; Magnoliopsida; Poales; Poaceae. The record is from RNAcentral.
GAUCUCGGCGUUGGCGGCGACGGCGGCGUAGGACUUGGCGGGGUUCACCGGGGCGGUGACGGUGACCUCAUCCUCCGCAACGCUGCCGUCCGGCACGGUCUUCUCGGCGGCGACGGUGGCGUAGGACUUGGCGGGGUUCACGGCCGCGGUGACGGAGACCUCGUCCUCCUCGACGUUGCCGUUGGGGUAGGUCUUCUCGGCGGCGACGUCGGCGUAGGACUUGGCGCGGUUCUCGGCGGCGGUGACGGUGACCUCGUCCUCCGCGACGCUGCCGUUGGGGCUGGUCUUCUCAGCGACGACGGCGGCGUAGGACUUGGCGGGGUUCUCGGCGGCGGUGACGGUGACCUCGUCCUCCUCGACGCUGCCGUUGGGCAAGGUCUUCUCGGCGGCGACGGCGGCGUAGGACUUGGUGGGGUGCCCGUCGGUGGUGGCGGCAACGUCGUCGCCGGCGAAGCAUCCGAUGGGCGCGGUCUUCU